UUAAUUUUCAAAGUCAACCAAAUUUGAAUGUUUCACUUCUUCUUUUUUUAUUUGGGUCCUACAAGAAAAAGAUUCAAGCUUCAACAACUAACGAGCUGGUGAUGCAUAUCUGUUUCGAACAUUAACUUCUGCCCUUUUUGAACAUAAAGGACAAUGUUACAAUCCAACAUAUAGAUGUGAAAGAGGAAGAAAAAACAAUCAUAUGAUAAGCCAAAUAGAGAAACUCAAACCAUCACCUUUCUGGGAAAUGGGCGGCAUGUUGAAGAGAAAGAAGAAACUUUCCGACAGGAAUAGACUUUUAGUGACUUUAAUCUCCUUGUUUUGUUGCGAUUCUGUGGAUGACUUUACACAUUUAUUUAUCUAUAGGCGUAAUGACUUUCUAGCCACCUGAACUUGUAAGGCUUUUGAAAGCCGAUAUAUAAACUUUGGAUUUUCCCAUUUGAACACUUAAACCUGUGAAACCCUUAACUAAUAAACACAUUUGACCCUUGACCCUACGCGCCUAUAUUACACAUUCACAGACGUAUCCAUCCAGUCAGUAAAUGACCAACGAGAUUGUUAUACGUCAAGGCCGCGAAAACAAACCCCAUAGCUGUGCUGGAAUAAAUUUAUUAAUUUCUACAUUUUCUUAUAUUUUCCUUAUUUUCUUCUUCACCAUAGGAGUGCAUUUUUUACCUAAAUCAAGACACCAAAAUUAUCCAGCAAUCCAAAUUAUCUAUGAAGAGGGCGGCAAAUAAUUUACACAGUACUACGGUAGAAAAAAACAAACACAAAGGAAAAACAACAGAUACUUAGAAUACUUCAAGUGAAUUAGAGAAAACGAGUAAAAACUUGGAUAAUAUAUGAUCAACAAAAAUCUGGGAAUUGUACCACGAAGCGGAAAAAAACUCGUGGGCGAUCUCAUACAUCCUCAACACUCAAACCGAACAACCACAAAAAUAUCUUUGUCCCUUUGUGUUUUUUCGCUCACUUCCCCAUCUCCUUUUCUCUCAUUCCCUCCUUCCCCCAGAUCUGUUUCUCUGUACGUUGCGUGUAUGUGUGUUUAUCUUGCAACUGUUUCAGGUGUUAAGCGGCUAACUUUUAGAUUGAGAACAUGAAAAACUCAAAAUCCGAAGGGAGGGGGGUGCGCUGUUAGGCGUAGAUGGGGAGGAAGGACCGGUUGGGUUCGUGUGGUCGUUGCUGUGGGUUAUGAGUGAAGCUUUG
Molecule: long non-coding RNA, 1203 nt
Filed under: Nicotiana benthamiana
Lineage: Eukaryota; Viridiplantae; Streptophyta; Magnoliopsida; Solanales; Solanaceae
Description: long non-coding RNA (NBEN_LNC011594)
Source: RNAcentral